UGCAAGUCGAACGGAAACGAUGGGAGCUUGCUCCCAGGCGUCGAGUGGCGGACGGGUGAGUAAUACUUAGGAAUCUACCCAGUAGCGGGGGACAACUCGAGGAAACUCGAGCUAAUACCGCAUACGCCCUACGGGGGAAAGCAGGGGAUCUUCGGACCUUGCACUAUUGGAUGAGCCUAAGUCGGAUUAGCUUGUUGGUGAGGUAAAGGCUCACCAAGGCGACGAUCCGUAGCUGGUCUGAGAGGACGAUCAGCCACACUGGGACUGAGACACGGCCCAGACUCCUACGGGAGGCAGCAGUGGGGAAUAUUGGACAAUGGGGGCAACCCUGAUCCAGCAAUGCCGCGUGUGUGAAGAAGGCCUGCGGGUUGUAAACUUCUGUCGGAGGGGACGAAAGCUUUCGUGGUUAAUACCCAUGAUUGUUGACGGUACCCUAUGAGGAAGCCCCGGCUAACUCCGUGCCAGCAGCCGCGGUAAUACGGGGGGGGCAAGCGUUGUUCGGAAUUACUGGGCGUAAAGGGCGCGUAGGCGGGCGGGAAAGUCUUUCGUGAAAUCCCACGGCUCAACCGUGGAACUGCGGAAGAUACUACUCGUCUUGAGUUCGGGAGAGGAGUGUG
This 617-nucleotide ribosomal RNA is filed under the name uncultured bacterium. RNAcentral's name for it is "bacterial SSU rRNA". It matches the Rfam family "Bacterial small subunit ribosomal RNA", at positions 56 to 663 of the family's 1533-position model. The record is from RNAcentral.